This 334-nucleotide ribosomal RNA is filed under the name Laparocerus morio. RNAcentral describes it as "partial 12S ribosomal RNA". The record is from RNAcentral. Lineage: Eukaryota; Metazoa; Arthropoda; Insecta; Coleoptera; Curculionidae.
AAUACCCUAUUAUUUAAAGAGAAAUUUUUUGUACUUAAUUAGUAGUAGUUAAGGUCUUGAAAAUUAAAGAAUUUGGCGGUAUUUUAGUCUAUUCAGAGGAAUCUGUCCUAUAAUUGAUGAUCCACGAUUUUUUUUACCUAUUUUAUUAAUUUACAUAUCGCCGUAGUUAGAAUAUUUUUUUAAAAAGAUAAUAUUCAUAAUUUAGUUUUAUAAAAAAAAUCAGGUCAAGGUGUAGUUUAUAAAUAGGAAGAGAUGGAUUACAAUAAAAAUAUUUAUUAUGGAUUGAUUAAUGAGAAAUUUUUUAUGAAAGUGGAUUUGAUAGUAAUUUUAUUUG